GUCGAGCGAGCGGAACCAACAGAUUUACUUCGGUAAUGACGUUCGUUAAGCGAGCGGCGGAUGGGUGAGUAACACGUGGGGAACCUGCCCCUAAGUCUGGGAUACCAUUUGGAAACAGGUGCUAAUACCGGAUAAUAAAGCGGAUCGCAUGAUCAGCUUUUGAAAGGCGGCGUAAGCUGUCGCUAAGGGAUGGCCCCGCGGUGCAUUAGCUAGUUGGUAAGGUAACGGCUUACCAAGGCGACGAUGCAUAGCCGAGUUGAGAGACUGAUCGGCCACAUUGGGACUGAGGCACGGCCCAAACUCCUAUGGGAGGCAGCAGUAGGGAAUCUUCCACAAUGGACGCAAGUUUGAUGGAGCAACGCCGCGUGAGUGAAGAAGGUUUUCGGAUCGUAAAGCUCUGUUGUUGGUGAAGAAGGAUAGAGGUAGUAACUGGCCUUUAUUUGACGGUAAUCAACCACAAAGUCACGGCUAACUACGUGCCAGCAGCCGCGGUAAUACGUAGGUGGCAAGCGUUGUCCGGAUUUAUUGGGCGUAAAGCGAGCGCAGGCGGAAAAAUAAGUCUAAUGUGAAAGCCCUCGGCUUAACCGAGGAACUGCAUCGGAAACUGUUUUUCUUGAGUGCAGAAGAGGAGAGUGGAACUCCAUGUGUAGCGGUGGAAUGCGUAGAUAUAUGGAAGAACACCAGUGGCGAAGGCGGCUCUCUGGUCUGCAACUGACGCUGAGGCUCGAAAGCAUGGGUAGCGAACAGGAUUAGAUACCCUGGUAGUCCAUGCCGUAUACGAUGAGUGCUAAGUGUUGGGAGGUUUCCGCCUCUCAGUGCUGC
RNAcentral lists this ribosomal RNA (822 nucleotides) under uncultured bacterium. RNAcentral's name for it is "bacterial SSU rRNA". It matches the Rfam family "Bacterial small subunit ribosomal RNA", at positions 61 to 849 of the family's 1533-position model. The record is from RNAcentral.